AUGUGUCGGUCUUUUUUAAUUUGUAACAAAGAUUUUACAGACAUAUCAAAAAUAAGUAAGUCCUCUUUUGAAACCCAGAACUCAUUGUUCAGUAUGAGGCUUGAAACAUGUAGGAAGAAAUAGU
This is a small nucleolar RNA of Dipodomys ordii (Ord's kangaroo rat), 124 nucleotides long. Lineage: Eukaryota; Metazoa; Chordata; Mammalia; Rodentia; Heteromyidae. The record is from Ensembl.